AUGGCAAAGGCACUUACCGCUGCUGUGGCACCGUCUCUCUCGCGCCCUGACUCUCAGUCUCUCUCUCCCAUCCUCCUGACAGCCUCAAAUAUAGCAGUCCCUUAUGCUGUUCAGCCUGUGGGGAGCAGAGGAUUGCGGAGUUGUUUUUUUUUUUUUCUUUCUUUCCCCUGCAAUUUUUUUUUUUUUUUAAACCAUCCAGAGGUAGUUCUCCAGAUCCGACCGCCUCUCCUCGCCUCGCUCACUGAUGGAGAGACCCAGCUGUAUACAUUCCUGUCAUUAGGGAUGGCUACCCAGCUGGAUAGAUAGUGGCUUUGCUGCUUGGCCCUGGAGGCUACAGGCUGAGAGGUGGUAUCCUCUGAUGAGAAGAAAUUGCAGCUCCCAGGGAGCAAUCAAGAUGCUGUGGUAGAGAAAAUUGUGAAAAGUUUCAUUUGUUGCUCCAAGUCAAAUGGGGAAGGAUGGACAGAUGCACAGACAAAGUUAGCAGAGAAGCUGCAGUGUGGUGGAGGCUUCUGAGGGCCAACUCAUAAUGGCUCAUAGGGACAGAGAAAACAGCUGUUACAGCCAGCGUGGGAUUUGUUGUUGGAAAGGAAGCAGUCUACAAGGGCAUCAGAGGAAAUGGAGAGUUGUGUGUGUGUGUGUGUUUAAUCUUGUUCUCGAUUUUCAUUAUUUUAAAAAGGUUAAUUUUCUAGUUUGUGUUUCAAUAAAAAUACCUUUUGAACUUCAAAGUAUUUUAGUGCUUUUAUUGAUUUUUUAUUUUUUUUUGGGGGGGGAGGGAGAAUUGUGGAUAUGGAUACAUCUCAGAGCUGCAUCUUAAAGUCCCACUUCAAAAUAUUUUUU
RNAcentral lists this long non-coding RNA (837 nucleotides) under Cairina moschata (Muscovy duck). RNAcentral's name for it is "domestica (muscovy Duck (domestic type)) lncRNA (ENSCMMG00000006719.1)". Lineage: Eukaryota; Metazoa; Chordata; Aves; Anseriformes; Anatidae. The record is from RNAcentral.